Molecule: ribosomal RNA, 468 nt
Filed under: uncultured bacterium
Lineage: Bacteria
Description: partial 16S ribosomal RNA
Rfam family: Bacterial small subunit ribosomal RNA
Source: RNAcentral
GACGAACGCUGGCGGCGUGCUUAACACAUGCAAGUCGAACGGAAAGGCCCUGCUUUUGUGGGGUACUCGAGUGGCGAACGGGUGAGUAACACGUGAGUAACCUGCCCUUGACUUUGGGAUAACUUCAGGAAACUGGGGCUAAUACCGGAUAGGAGCUCCUGCUGCAUGGUGGGGGUUGGAAAGUUUCGGCGGUUGGGGAUGGACUCGCGGCUUAUCAGCUUGUUGGUGGGGUAGUGGCUUACCAAGGCUUUGACGGGUAGCCGGCCUGAGAGGGUGACCGGCCACAUUGGGACUGAGAUACGGCCCAGACUCCUACGGGAGGCAGCAGUGGGGAAUAUUGCACAAUGGGCGGAAGCCUGAUGCAGCAACGCCGCGUGCGGGAUGACGGCCUUCGGGUUGUAAACCGCUUUCGCCUGUGACGAAGCGUGGGUGACGGUAAUGGGUAAAGAAGCACCGGCUAACUACGUG